This is a non-coding RNA of Picea glauca (white spruce), 344 nucleotides long. Lineage: Eukaryota; Viridiplantae; Streptophyta; Pinopsida; Pinales; Pinaceae. The record is from Rfam.
GAACAUCACUUGGACAUGGGUUAGUCGAUCCUAAGAGAUGGGGAAUCCUUGUAUCAAGGGUGCACUCUGCAUGAACAUUGAAAGAGAAUUGGGUUAAUAUUCUCGAACUGGGACAUGGUGGUGGACAACAAUGUUAGGAAAUUUGGAGAUGUCAUCAGGGGCCUGGGAAGAGUUAUCUUUUCUUUUUAACGACUUUUCCACCCUGAAAUCAGUUCAACCGAAGAUAGGGUCCAACAUAUGGAAGAGGACCACACAUCUUGUGGUGUUUUGUGCCCCCUCAGUGGCCAUUGAAAAUAUGGAGAACCGAGUACCAUCCAUGCCCGAUUGUACUCAUAUCUGCCUCC